GUCGGACUCGAUCCGGAACUUCUUAAUUAUUGGCAAUAUUAAUUACGUGGAAAACAAAGGGGCCUGGAGUGGUGUAAUUUUUAAUCAACACCAUUGUACUAUAUUAGUUAUACAUAAAGUUGAAUUCUUUGAUUCAUCGUUUUUACGAGAUGACGGCUGACAAAUUGGACCUCGUUAUUUUAGUAUUAUAGAUAUCAAAUAU
Molecule: long non-coding RNA, 202 nt
Filed under: Mytilus galloprovincialis (Mediterranean mussel)
Lineage: Eukaryota; Metazoa; Mollusca; Bivalvia; Mytilida; Mytilidae
Source: RNAcentral